This 511-nucleotide ribosomal RNA is filed under the name uncultured bacterium. Its description in RNAcentral is "partial 16S ribosomal RNA". It matches the Rfam family "Bacterial small subunit ribosomal RNA", at positions 28 to 506 of the family's 1533-position model. The record is from RNAcentral.
GAUGAACGCUGGCGGCGUGCCUAAUACAUGCAAGUCGAACGAAACUUCUUUAUCACCGAGUGCUUGCACUCACCGAUAAAGAGUUGAGUGGCGAACGGGUGAGUAACACGUGGGCAACCUGCCCAAAAGAGGGGGAUAACACUUGGAAACAGGUGCUAAUACCGCAUAACCAUAGUUACCGCAUGGUAACUAUGUAAAAGGUGGCUAUACUACCGCUUUUGGAUGGGCCCGCGGCGCAUUAGCUAGUUGGUAGGGUAAAGGCUUACCAAGGCAAUGAUGCGUAGCCGAAUUGAGAGGUUGAUCGGCCACAUUGGGACUGAGACACGGCCCAAACUCCUACGGGAGGCAGCAGUAGGGAAUCUUCCACAGUGGGCGAAAGCCUGAUGGAGCAACGCCGCGUGGGUGAAGAAGGUCUUCGGAUCGUAAAACCCUGUUGUUAGAGAAGAAAGUGCGUGAGAGUAACUGUUCACGUUUCGACGGUAUCUAACCAGAAAGCCACGGCUAACUACGU